UCGUAACAAGGUUUCCGUAGGUGAACCUGCGG
This 32-nucleotide ribosomal RNA is filed under the name Lasiodiplodia theobromae. RNAcentral's name for it is "partial 18S ribosomal RNA". The record is from RNAcentral. Lineage: Eukaryota; Fungi; Ascomycota; Dothideomycetes; Botryosphaeriales; Botryosphaeriaceae. RNAcentral also lists the same sequence under 2 other names.